AUCGCUUCUCGGCCUUUUGGCUAAGAUCAGGUGUAGUAUCUGUUCUUAUCAGUUUACUAUCUGAUACGUCCUCUAUCCAAGGACAAUAUAUUAAAAUAGUUGAGCAACAAAA
This 112-nucleotide small nuclear RNA is filed under the name Zalophus californianus (California sea lion). RNAcentral's name for it is "U2 spliceosomal RNA (ENSZCAG00015011411.1)". It matches the Rfam family "U2 spliceosomal RNA". From Rfam's summary of the family: U2 is a small nuclear RNA (snRNA) component of the spliceosome (involved in pre-mRNA splicing). RNAcentral also lists the same sequence under 1 other name. The record is from RNAcentral. Lineage: Eukaryota; Metazoa; Chordata; Mammalia; Carnivora; Otariidae.